Molecule: long non-coding RNA, 611 nt
Filed under: Homo sapiens (human)
Lineage: Eukaryota; Metazoa; Chordata; Mammalia; Primates; Hominidae
Description: DLGAP1 antisense RNA 2
Source: RNAcentral
CCUUUGACCCGAUGCUGUCAGAGAGCGUGCAUGAAGAAGAAAGUUAAUGGUAUUUCCAUUUAUAUAAGAAGCGCCUAAGAAAUGCCUGUGACGUUCGUGAACUAGUGAUUGUGAAUUCCAAAUUUGAUGCCAACUUUAUGUGUAAAGAAGCUAACUCCUGCCAACAUCGUGGCUGAAUGAACAGCUGGGACUAUGCUUAACCCAUUCCCAGCUUAUAAAAGCCCCAUGGCAGCUGCAGUGAAGCAUCAGAUUAUGUGAUGCAACAAAAUUCAAAUAUGAAAACCAUCUCGGAGGCCGGGCGCGGUGGCUCACGCCUUUAAUCCCAGCACUUUGGGAGGCCGAGGUGGGUGGAUCAUUUGAGGUCAGAAGUUCAAGACCAGCCUGGCCAACACGGUGAAACCCUGUCUCUACUAAAAAUACAAAAAUUAACUGGGCGUGGUGGCACAUGCCUGUAAUCCCAGCUACUCGGGAGGCUGAGGCAGGAGAAUUGCUUGAACCUGGGAGGCGGAGGUUGCAGUGAGCCGAGAUCACGCCAUUGUUCUCCAGCCUGGGCAACAAGAGCAAAACUCUGUCUCAAAAAUAAAAUAAAAAAUUGCUUUAAAAAAUAAAAA